UGAGGAAUAUUGGGCAAUGCCCGCAAGGGUGACCCAGCAACGCCGCGUGGAGGAUGAAUGUCGUAAGAUUGUAAACUCCUGUUAGAGGGGAAGAAUAGUACCGGUUGGACCGGUAUAUGACUGUACCCUCAGAGAAAGCCCCGGCUAACUACGUGCCAGCAGCCGCGGUAAUACGUAGGGGGCAAGCGUUGUCCGGAUUUACUGGGUGUAAAGGGCGCGCAGGCGGGAUAAAAAGUCAGUGGUGAAAUCCUACAGCUUAACUGUAGAACUGCCUUUGAUACUGUUAUUCUUGAGUUCGGGAGAGAGAGACGGAAUUCCAGGUGUAGUGGUGAAAUACGUAGAUAUCUGGAAGAACACCAGUUGCGAAGGCGGUCUCUUGGUCCGACACUGACGCUG
This 396-nucleotide ribosomal RNA is filed under the name uncultured bacterium. RNAcentral's name for it is "bacterial SSU rRNA". It matches the Rfam family "Bacterial small subunit ribosomal RNA", at positions 355 to 748 of the family's 1533-position model. The record is from RNAcentral.